This 2256-nucleotide long non-coding RNA is filed under the name Nicotiana tabacum (common tobacco). RNAcentral's name for it is "long non-coding RNA (NTAB_LNC014448)". Lineage: Eukaryota; Viridiplantae; Streptophyta; Magnoliopsida; Solanales; Solanaceae. The record is from RNAcentral.
AAUAGUUUAAGUGUUGGUAAUCAGGCGUCCACCUAGAGAAAAGGAAAGCAUCUCAGAUUAUAAUUCGAGUUCAGCAAUCAGGCGUCCAGCUAAAGAAAAGGGAAAGUGUCCCAGAUCACAACUUAAGUUGGCAACAAAGGGAUUUCACCAGGAGAAUACAAGUCAACAAGGCAACAAGAAUCACAAGAUCAAGUUUGAAGAUACAGAUAGGAUUUUUGUAAUGCAUAGAUCAUAGUUUAGUCUAGCUUCUUUUUCUUUUGUCAUGGUGUAAUAAGGAGUUCAGUAAGCAGUAGCAGCAACAACAGCAGCGGUGAAAUCACAGCUUCAUGGUAGUUCCAGCUACCAAAACUUCCCGAACUACACUAACUUGAUUCCUUUAUAGCCAAGGAUAUGUAGGCAACCUCGGAAGCACGGUGUGCUCAAAUCUUUCAAAAAUGCUUCCCACGGAGUAUUCAAAUGGGCAAAAAUCGCUCGUAUCUGCUCACUUUUUCUUUGCACGAAAACUCUUCGUCUUUUCGAGCAAGGAGGGCAGCUGUGAGCAUGUGAUUUUUGCCCAACAUGAAAUACUCCUAUAAAAUCAAAGAAAAUAAAGUUUUUCUUAAUUAUUCGCCAUUUUUAGGAAUUUUUGCAGAUUUUUAUUAAUUGUUUGCAUUUUUCCUGCACGUUUAAUUUUUAUUUUUAUCAUGAGAAAAUACCAAAAUAUCAUGCAUUGCAUUUAGGAUUUGUUUUUAUGUUUUUAUAAUUAACCAAUAAUAUUGUUUUAUAAAAAUUAAAAAUCACAAAAAUUGCUUCAUUUUUACACUUUUUACUUUUAUUGAUUUUUUCUCUUUUAAUUUAGGAUUAAGUAGCUUUUAUAAUUUUUAUAAUUAGCUAAUUAGUUUAAUUUCACACUUUUAAAUAAUUUAAGAUUUUUAAUUUUUAGGAUUUUAAUUAAAAGAAAAGGGAAAAAUUAGAAAAUAAAAGAAAGGAAAUUGGAAAAAGAGUUUAAUUUGAAUUUGGGCCAAAUCCUAUACCCAAAUCUGCCCAAUACCAGCCCAUUUCACUACCUGGCCCAAUUGUAGUUUUUCUUUCCCUUUUAUUUAAAUACCUAAGACCUAAUAACCUAGAGAGAGGGAAUAAGAUCAGAAGACCUCACCUCUCAUAUAUAAGAAGAGCACAACUUUCCUUUUUUCCCCUUCUUCUGACUCCUUCUUCAUCUCCGGCGCACCUGCUUCUCCAAUCCAUCUUCUCUUCACGCUUCCUCAAUCUCUGAUAACCCACACCUUCUGAAAUUAAUCAAAAAGAAAGGAAAAGUUCUAAAUCAAAAUUUUGGGUCUACGAUACUAAGAAUGUAACAAAAGAGAGGAUAAAAGGGGUUUCAUCUCUGCUUGAAGUUUGCUAUCUUCUUCUUUCAUAUUUCUGGGUUUCAAUAAUGUUUGCUUGAAGUUUUGCUGUUGUUCGCUGCUGAGACUGCUAACCUCCGCUUCUCUGGCCCUUUAUUUGGUUUUCUUUUAGCUGUUUUCCGCAACCAGUUAUUGAAUCAUGAAUUCAAGUCUCCGAUUUGUCAAAUUUUGGGUUCUGUUAGUUUGUAAAUAAGCGUGAUUUAUUAUUUUAACGUCUGUUUGAAUUGCUCCAUGACUUUGUUUGCUUAGCUUGAAUACGUGUUUGUUGCUGCGAUCAUAUUUAGUAGAUUUUGUCCCUAUAAUGAUGAAUUGAAUACGUGUUUAGCCUACAAUACAACAAAUGUUUAGUGAUUUGAUUUUCUAUUAUUAGUAGUGCAGAUAUUAAAAUUUAAAUUAGAUAUUGCUUACUGCUAAAUCUGCUCAUUCUUCCUAGUUAUAAAAUAACUCGUCAUUCAAUUCGUUUUUUUCUGAAGCAUUUGAUCAAUUUUUAAAAUUAGUAUUUCCUCACCAACUAUUUCUCAUAUCCAAUUGGAUUACUAACUAACCUAUGAGUUAUUAGAAACCAAUUUUUAAUUUCACCAAAAAGAAUGGUUAAAGUGCUCACUAAUGAAGUGGAAAGGAUAUGGUAGGCAAAAAUGAUAAAGAUAUCACUGUUUAUGGAGUGUGUCAAAUUUAAGAAAUAGGAUCUUACUUCAUUUCAGAUUGGUUUGAUCACAUAUUGAUGUUUCGAGUGAUAUGUUGGUGUAAAGACAUUUUGAAAUCAUGUUGAGGCCUUACAUUAGGCUCAUGGACGCUUUGCACCAGACUUAUGUUUUAGUAUUUGAUUGAUUUUUCUUAAGGCAUUAACAAGCAUUUCAUUUUCCAUUAAUUUAUG